GUUUAGUGUGUCUUUUGUGA
RNAcentral lists this non-coding RNA (20 nucleotides) under Rattus norvegicus (Norway rat). The record is from RNAcentral. Lineage: Eukaryota; Metazoa; Chordata; Mammalia; Rodentia; Muridae.